UCGAUUUUCUGGCAGCUGUUUUCGAUGUGAAUAAUCUCAACUAGGCAAAAAAAAAAACAAAUACCUUGAAAAAGCUGUGUGAUAAACCUCGAUCCCACCCGCGACAGGAAAUGCAGCCGCAAGGAUAAAGAAAUUCGAAAACAUUUUGACCAACAAAGUAAUGGGACAUCUCUGGCGAGUGCAAUUUCGACUGUCGGAACCGCUGCAACGGCAACCUUCAACAGCAGCAGCAGUAUCUAACAAUUUAACUACGGGAACUGGAACAUAAGAGGCAAUCAGUGUUUUCGCAAUGGAUUCUGCUGGUCGCUUUUAUAAGCGAUUCCAACCGUAACAACGGUGGCGGACUCAAAGAAUCGCUGCUUGCGUUAUGGCACUUUCGGAAAUAGUGGAAAUAGUUAUAGUGUUCUGCUGCAAUAAACCAGCCAGCUUCGGUAAUUACAAAGACUUAAAUAAAUGUUUUUACGAAUAGUUUAUUUCAUUAAA
Molecule: long non-coding RNA, 483 nt
Organism: Wyeomyia smithii (pitcher-plant mosquito)
Lineage: Eukaryota; Metazoa; Arthropoda; Insecta; Diptera; Culicidae
Exons: 2
Source: RefSeq, a predicted model, not a curated record